Molecule: ribosomal RNA, 207 nt
Filed under: uncultured bacterium
Lineage: Bacteria
Description: partial 16S ribosomal RNA
Rfam family: Bacterial small subunit ribosomal RNA
Source: RNAcentral
CGUGUAGGCGGUGCGGUAAGUUGGACGUGAAAUCCCCGGGCUCAACCCGGGGCGGUCGUUCAAAACUGCCGUGCUAGAGUGUGGGAGAGGGAAGUGGAAUUCCCGGUGUAGCGGUGAAAUGCGUAGAUAUCGGGAAGAACACCUGUGGCGAAGGCGGCUUCCUGGCCCACAACUGACGCUGAGGCGCGAAAGCUAGGGGAGCAAACA